AAGGGGAAGGAACAGCUUGCUCUUAUUAAGUUAGCAGCGGAAGGGUGAAUAAGCGUGGGUAACCUGCCCAUAAAACUGGGAAACUCCGGUAAACCGGGGCAAAUACCGAAUAAUAUUUUUAACUGGGAGGUUCCAAACUGAAAAGGCGCUUUGCGUCGUCUUUUUUGAAUGAACCCCCCCCCCCCUUACCUUGUUGGAAGAUGUAACCGCACCCGGUAGGAAAGGGUUGCUAAACCCAUCUGAAAAGGGGUGGCCGAUUUUCUGGUAUUGAAAAAUUUUUUACAGUUUUUAGGGGAGGGAAAAUUUUAAAAUCCCCCAAAUUGGAAGGGUGUCAGAAAAAGCGGCGCUGCGUGAUUGAGGGGGUUUUUCGGGUCAUAUCUCUCUAUUGUUGGGGAAAAAAAGUGAUACGAGUUACUCUCUCCCCGGGAAGGAACCCCCCUAUAGACGGGUUUAAAAGAGGUGCCAACACGCGAUGUGUUCUCGCUGCCGCGUAACACGAUUUGCGCCACUUUUGCGCACACGUUUUUUCUUUUUAGAUUACAGCUGCGCCCCACACUCCGGAGGAUUAGUGAUACGCGAAACUGAGCGCAGAGAGGAGACCCCUUCAUGUGA
RNAcentral lists this ribosomal RNA (612 nucleotides) under Bacillus sp. DP-15-4. RNAcentral describes it as "partial 16S ribosomal RNA". Lineage: Bacteria; Bacillati; Bacillota; Bacilli; Caryophanales; Bacillaceae. The record is from RNAcentral.